GACGAACGCUGGCGGCGUGCUUAACACAUGCAAGUCGAACGGAAAGGCCCUGCUUUUGUGGGGUGCUCGAGUGGCGAACGGGUGAGUAACACGUGAGUAACCUGCCCUUGACUUUGGGAUAACUUCAGGAAACUGGUGCUAAUACCGGAUAGGAGCUCCUGCUGCAUGGUGGGGGUUGGAAAGUUUCGGCGGUUGGGGAUGGACUCGCGGCUUAUCAGCUUGUUGGUGGGGUAGUGGCUUACCAAGGCUUUGACGGGUAGCCGGCCUGCGAGGGUGACCGGCCACAUUGGGACUGAGAUACGGCCCAGACUCCUACGGGAGGCAGCAGUGGGGAAUAUUGCACAAUGGGCGGAAGCCUGAUGCAGCAACGCCGCGUGCGGGAUGACGGCCUUCGGGUUGUAAACCGCUUUCGCCUGUGACGAAGCGUGAGUGACGGUAAUGGGUAAAGAAGCACCGGCUAACUACGUG
RNAcentral lists this ribosomal RNA (468 nucleotides) under uncultured bacterium. RNAcentral describes it as "partial 16S ribosomal RNA". It matches the Rfam family "Bacterial small subunit ribosomal RNA", at positions 28 to 507 of the family's 1533-position model. The record is from RNAcentral.